AGUGAACGCUGGCGGCGUGCCUAAUACAUGCAAGUCGAACGGAAUUUAAAAGAGCUUGCUCUUUUAAAUUUAGUGGCGCACGGGUGAGUAAUAUAUAGCUAAUCUGCCCCUUGCUGGAGGACAACAGUUAGAAAUGACUGCUAAUACUCCAUACUCCUUUUUACCAUAAGAUAAAUCGGGAAAGAAUUUCGGCAAGGGAUGAGACUAUAUCGUAUCAGCUAGUCGGUGGGGUAACGGCCUACCGAGGCUAUGACGCGUAACUGGUCUGAGAGGAUGAUCAGUCACAUUGGAACUGAGACACGGUCCAAACUCCUACGGGAGGCAGCAGUAGGGAAUAUUGCGCAAUGGGGGAAACCCUGACGCAGCAACGCCGCGUGGAGGAUGACACUUUUCGGAGCGUAAACUCCUUUUGUUAGGGAAGAAUAAUGACGGUACCUAACG
RNAcentral lists this ribosomal RNA (441 nucleotides) under Campylobacter gracilis. RNAcentral's name for it is "bacterial SSU rRNA". It matches the Rfam family "Bacterial small subunit ribosomal RNA", at positions 29 to 484 of the family's 1533-position model. Lineage: Bacteria; Pseudomonadati; Campylobacterota; Epsilonproteobacteria; Campylobacterales; Campylobacteraceae. The record is from RNAcentral.